GAUGAACGCUGGCGGCGUGCUUAACACAUGCAAGUCGAACGGAAAGGCCAGUGCUUGCACUGGUACUCGAGUGGCGAACGGGUGAGUAACACGUGGGUGAUCUGCCCUGCACUUCGGGAUAAGCCUGGGAAACUGGGUCUAAUACCGGAUAGGACAAUGGUUUGGAUGCCGUUGUGGAAAGUUUUUUCGGUGUGGGAUGAGCUCGCGGCCUAUCAGCUUGUUGGUGGGGUAAUGGCCUACCAAGGCGUCGACGGGUAGCCGGCCUGAGAGGGUGUACGGCCACAUUGGGACUGAGAUACGGCCCAGACUCCUACGGGAGGCAGCAGUGGGGAAUAUUGCACAAUGGGCGCAAGCCUGAUGCAGCGACGCCGCGUGGGGGAUGACGGCCUUCGGGUUGUAAACUCCUUUCGCUAGGGACGAAGCGUAUUUGGGACGGUACCUGGAGAAGAAACACCGGCUAACUACGU
RNAcentral lists this ribosomal RNA (467 nucleotides) under uncultured bacterium. Its description in RNAcentral is "partial 16S ribosomal RNA". It matches the Rfam family "Bacterial small subunit ribosomal RNA", at positions 28 to 506 of the family's 1533-position model. The record is from RNAcentral.